CAUGAAAUGUCAGUCCAGGGGUAUCUCUGUGGUUGUCAUGAGGGCAAGAAAAACACGCAGCAAGUUCUCAUUCUUCUCCUCCCCUUGGCUGUUCCUGCCCCUCUGCUCCUGCUGACUGUCACAGGCGUUCAGGGCCAGCCCCUUGGUCUGGCAGUGAAGAGCCCUGGUUUGCAUUGCGUCCCGGACAACAAAAAGGAGGCACCCUUGGUGUAAAGGAAAAGGCUCCUCAGAAGAAGGUUUUCCUGACGUGAUGGAACAACUGCCCUGCUUCGUUGCUGCAAAGUGCCGUGCCUUCGUGUGCUGACCUCAAGCAAGCGAGAAAUGGAGAGUAGACUAACCAAAGAAAAGUCCCUCGCAGCCACGCAUUAAAUAUUUUCCUAGUGACUCUUUAAAUACUUAUGUAUUGAUGAAAUUUCACCGUCCUUCGAAAAAUGUCAAGAACCAUGCUCCUGCACCUCUAUCGCAUCAUUGCAAGGGUUUGUUUUAGUGGGAGAUGCAGAUGACUAGCAGUGUGCUGCAACUGAGAAAGGAGGACUUCUGUGACAACCGAGGAGACAGAAUGCUCCAGAUAGUACAUCUGAAAGAAAUGAUUGCCAAAGUCCUCAAGAGAGGAAAUCUCCAGACUUAUCGAGAUUUCAGCGGAGCACAGACACGGUUAAAUCCAGCAGAGCAGGGAGAAGCAACCUCAAACCAGUCCUUCCUCCCAAGAAAUUACCUCCCAAGCCAUGUGGCAAGGAGUUCAGUGCUGACCUUCGUCUAAAGUUUGGUGCCUCUGUGCCAUCCAAUUUCAUGUCAUUUCUGUUGGUUUUGUGAAGACUAAACAGACAUCUCCCACAGUGAGCUUUUCAUAUA
This is a long non-coding RNA of Oxyura jamaicensis (ruddy duck), 852 nucleotides long. RefSeq lists it as uncharacterized. The transcript is spliced from 5 exons. NCBI's taxonomy places the organism in Eukaryota, Metazoa, Chordata, Aves, Anseriformes, Anatidae. The record is from RefSeq and is a predicted model, not a curated record.